UUAGUAUUCCUAACUGGUAUUUGAUAAACACCUGAUGUUUGCUUGUUCUCCCUAGGAUUCUUUAUCAUUUUUAAGUUGGCCAAAAAACCUAAGGUUGCCUUUUAUACUCUAGUCUUUUAUGCAUUUUUUUUUUCCCCAACUUCUUAGUAAAGUCAUAUCCUUUCAUAGCAUAUGGUAUUUGCACAUAACCUUGAUUACUUUGAAGUGUCCCUUCUUCCGAUCGGUCUGUGUGGAUCUGUUGCAUUUUACUAUAAAUGCCCUGCGAAAACACCUACUAUAGCCAUGCUGGUGCCCUAUUUCAUAAAUAUAUUAGAGUUCCUUCUCUUUUUCUUACUGGUUACAUCAACCAGCAAGAAAAAGAGAAAAAGUGAACUUUUCUACUAAGUGACUUACAGUCCCGCGUUGAUUCGUUUACAUACAUUCGCAUAACAAGUUUAAUUUUAUUAGUUUACAGGAGUAAUCAAUUCAUAUUAUCCUCUUUACAAUUUGAUCAUAAACCGAACAA
RNAcentral lists this long non-coding RNA (505 nucleotides) under Androctonus crassicauda. Lineage: Eukaryota; Metazoa; Arthropoda; Arachnida; Scorpiones; Buthidae. The record is from RNAcentral.